CAACUCUGAUAGCUUAAUUAAAGAGCAUAGCGUUGAAGGUGCUAAGGUGGAAUAAUAAUUCCUCGGGG
RNAcentral lists this transfer RNA (68 nucleotides) under Stomatella planulata. RNAcentral describes it as "tRNA-Phe". Lineage: Eukaryota; Metazoa; Mollusca; Gastropoda; Trochida; Trochidae. The record is from RNAcentral.